CAGUAGCCGCGGUAAUACGGAGGAUCCAAGCGUUAUCCGGAAUCAUUGGGUUUAAAGGGUCCGUAGGCGGUCUUGUAAGUCAGUUGUGAAAGCCCAUCGCUCAACGGUGGAACGGCCAUUGAUACUGCAGGACUUGAAUUAUUGGGAAGUAACUAGAAUAUGUAGUGUAGCGGUGAAAUGCUUAGAGAUUACAUGGAAUACCAAUUGCGAAGGCAGGUUACUACCAAUUGAUUGACGCUGAUGGACGAAAGCGUGGGUAGCGAACAGGAUUAGAUACCCGCGUAGUCCCUGUCUCUUAUAC
RNAcentral lists this ribosomal RNA (301 nucleotides) under uncultured bacterium. Its description in RNAcentral is "partial 16S ribosomal RNA". It matches the Rfam family "Bacterial small subunit ribosomal RNA", at positions 509 to 807 of the family's 1533-position model. The record is from RNAcentral.